Molecule: non-coding RNA, 26 nt
Filed under: Mus musculus (house mouse)
Lineage: Eukaryota; Metazoa; Chordata; Mammalia; Rodentia; Muridae
Source: RNAcentral
UAGACAGAUGAUGUUGAGGUAGUUGG